GACAUCGUGGCCGAGCGGUUAAGGCGGCAGACUCGAAAUCUGCUGGGGUCUCCCCGCGUGAGUUCGAAUCUCACCGAUGUCG
Molecule: transfer RNA, 82 nt
Organism: Guillardia theta CCMP2712
Lineage: Eukaryota; Cryptophyceae; Pyrenomonadales; Geminigeraceae
Rfam family: tRNA
About the family: Transfer RNA (tRNA) molecules are approximately 80 nucleotides in length. Their secondary structure includes four short double-helical elements and three loops (D, anti-codon, and T loops).
Source: Rfam